GCUGCUAAUACAGCACCAUUUUAGCAUGUCUUAAAAGAUUUUCUUUUAAAUUUAUUUUUCAUAUGUAAGGGAUUGACAUUUCACUUUUAUCUUUGCUUUCUGCUUGCUACCCUGUCAGUAUUUACCAAGCUCACUUACAGGUUUGAAGAAUCAGUUUACCUAAACCCAAGAAAGAAUACAAAGCAUUGGAAAAUUCCUGACAGAGAAAAAUUAUAAAUCCCACCUUUUCCUAGAAGAUGGGAAAGUCUGCAUCUUGUGAAGGACCAAGAGCCCCACUGUGCCCAAAGAAGUCACAUCAUCUGUACUCUGCUCCAGCACUGUCCUUGAGUCACCCCAUUCCUGAGAUGAGCCCACUGUGCAAAAAAAAAAAAAAAUCCAUUCUCACCUGUGAAUUCUGCACUGAGUCCCCAGCCAUAUUAUAGGAGUUUGGAGAUCCUGUGAUUUAGCUCUGAGUCACUGUCCUCGGACUGCACCUCACCCUCUCCUUUUCCUCCCCUUCUCCAGAGGUUUGGAUCAGAGGCUGACAUCAAUCCAACCUACAAGCAUUGUGUCCAGCUGGUGUUAUCCUCGAACAUGAAACUGCUCAAAAGCUCAAGGAAAAAAAUAAAGGGCAAGAAUUCUAGCCCCGCCUCCAAAUGGAAGAAUCGGAAUUGGCCCUUUUGCAGUCUUCUCCACUGAUAUGUAAGCCUCUUAGGACAUUUUGGGCUGCUGUACAGGAACACUGCACACAAGGGUGCCCAUCUGAGCAUUUCAUAAGAGUCAUCGAUGGACUGACCAAAGGACCACAAGAAUGAAAGUACUGAGUGGACUCUAGAUAUGGAGAUGCACUGGACAGACAACACUUCAGGGGAGGAUUUGACUUCCAACAGCAAUGGAUGUGCUCGGUUCCAGCAAGCAAAAGAAUACCUUUCCUAGGAAAUUCUACAUGGAGACCUAAUCUACAUAACAAAUAAAUUCAAAAUUUCUAAUAAGUGAUGCGAGUUCUCUCUCUCAACCACCCUUACAUUCCCCUAUUCUCAUCCUCCUGAAUGCAUGCAUCAUUUAGUUGAAAUUCUCACAAAAGCUCUAUGAGGUAAGUUCUUUAUUAUUGCUUGUCUUUGCUUGCUUUAUCAUAUCUUUCUGUUUUUGCCAUUCUGUGAUGAUCAACCAAAAUCAUAUAAGUAGUGUUUGAUGGAGUUGGGUUUAGGCCAUCUACAGAACACCUACAGAACCCUCACUAAUAACCUGAAGUUUUUAUGCCUAUUAAAAGCCCAACAUCAUUCUCAUAAGUGAAAAUUCUCUCAGUAUUGAUUUCCUGUCAAAUGAAAUAGAAGAAACAGUAAUUAUUGUCAUAUUAUUGUUAAUAUUGAUAUAACAUCCAAAAGGAGCAUACUUAAAUAUCCUGAUUCAGUGUGACAUUUUUAAAAUAAAUUUAACAUUAAUGAAAUGACUUUUGAGGCUAAAAUUAUAUUAACUAUACCAAAAUUUGCAAGAAUAGAAGCUAAUGAAGGAAAUAGAACAGGUAUUUCAAUAGAAAUAGGUUUAUUGUGGAUAAACCGGUUGGGCAGGGCAGCAGAGACUGAAACCCAUCUUCCCCUUACAUCUUGGAGUAGAUAUAGAAACAUUAGGGAAUGGGGAAAUUUUUGCAAUUAGGUUAUUUUAGUGGUUUGUCAGGGAAGAGUCUUGUGGUCGUCACCUCCAUUCUUUGAAGUGAUUACUGUUCCCUGCUAACCAGGCAUCUUCAGAAUUCCAGUCCUAGGUAGCAAUCUCCUUUCUUUGCAUGAUGAUGGAGUAUUGUCUGAGGUUUACUUCAGGCUGAGUCAGAAUGACUGUGAGGUGACUCUUGUUCUAAGGUAUAUGACAUGUUUCAUAGUGUUGCCCAUGUCAAGUUCUACCUAACAAAGUUCUUCAUUUUAUCCACUUCUAUAAAUUUCCUCAUCUUUAAAAAAGGCAAAUAUAUAUCCCAAAGUCCCAAAAGUAGAAAUCCUCAAUGGUACCAUAGUGUAACAUGCAGUCAGUAUUUGUCAGUUAGUUUACUUUUGUAUGGUUUCUGAUAUACAUGACUAUUACUUUCUGCCCUUUGUAUAAGAUAUGCUUCUGAUUUUCCCCUAUAACCCUUUCUUUUACCUCUCUGGCUUAUUUCUAGAUCGUUUUUUUAACAUACACAUCUUUUAAGUGAAAAUCACAGAAUUCAGUGUGACCUCCCCUUUCAAUUUUAUUCUCUAAAACUCUUACUCAAGUGUACUCAUAUCAUCAAAUACUAUCCACAUAACUGGCUGGUGACUGCAGCUGAGUCAUCAUUACCUCUGCCCUCUAUGCUCAGAGUCAAAAUUUAGCAUCCCAUAGUCCAAUCUGGAGCUUUUCAUACAUUGUGCAAUUUUCAUGUGGCUAACAUAGUAUCAUCAAGCGAAAUGGAUGAGACAAGAGAUAUUUGAAAAGGUUUGUUGAGAAAUGAAACAAUACAAUGAAGCAACUAUUUUAGGUUAAUGGGAGACCCUUUGUUCUCCUUCCAUUUCCCUCUUUCUUCUCCUCUCCUUCCCUCUCUUCUCCUUCCUAUCUUCUUCCUCACCCAGCCUUUCCUUUCCACUUCUUUCUUCUCUCUCUUCACCUAUUUUUUUUCUUUUUAUCUCUUUUCUAAUUCCAAUGCCUCCACUUGAUAUCUGGUUCUUAAAUCACCCCAGCCUUAGUAACCUUAGAAUAGUCCUGAUUUCCCUAUUGGUAGGUAAUAGUGCAGGGACACCAAGAUAUCACAGGGAAAGUGUCCAAAGUAUGUUGUUUGGAGGACAAAACAGGGCAGCAAGUGAUAUCCCUGUUUAAGAUAAGUCUCAUUACCAAUGGCAACUGUCACCAGUAAGGACUUAUAACCAUGUCAACCCCUGCCACAAUGACCAAUGGGGGUCAAGUGGGCCAUAUUCUAAUUAAGUUUUCUAAAGUAACCAGUGAGGGAAAAUUUGGACAAUAUUCUAAUUAGGUAUAAUAAGGUAGCCAAUGGGGGGUCAAGGGGAUAGGUCUUCAAUCAGAUCCAUAUAAGGAAGAGAAUGCCUCACAGCUCAGCUGUGACACUAAUUUCCAGACAUUGGGGCUUGAGUGUCUCUCUUGCUCAGCCCACUCUGCUCUACCUUAUGGAGUGUUAUUCCACCUUCCCUUUCAAUAAAUUUGUACUUUGCUUGUUACUUGUGAGUGUUCUUGUUCAAUUCUUUGUUUAGGACACCAAGACUUGAACCCAACUAGACACCCUGAUGAUAACACUAUGCAUAAUUCCUUUCUUUCCUUCUGAGUGCAAGAGGAGACAGUCACUCCUAAAACUAUUUCUGCAGCCUAAGAAACUCAGCCCCAGUUGCACAUGCCAUCUCCUUUGCUGUUUAUCAUGGAUCACCUCUUUUGACCCCUAAAUCUCACCCCAAGAUUGUAGACAGCCUGAUGUGUCAUUUGAGAAAAAAAAAAUAUCUAGUCCUAAUCACCAUGGUGGUUGAGUUACAAGAAAGCUUUUGCUCUCCCAUUUUUUGUACUUGGGCAUUCAAAGACUAUCUUCAAAGUUAUCUAGUUUUAUGUCCCUUCACGGACAAAAUCUUGGCUGGCAUUAUUUUCUCUCCAAAGUAACAGAUCUUUUAAGUCCCACUUUCCCACCUUCACCCCAUCUACCCCGGAACCUAUUCAUUUCAUUGGUGUGACUUCAGGCUGAGUUUGGAACCGGAUGUGAUGAUAUUCGUUUUCAUUUUUAUAACUGGAAUCAAAGCAUUCAAAAUAAAAACAUUUUUUACAAGAAGCUCAUCACAAUACCCACCCUGAAUUCUUCAGGGUGAGAUGAAUUUCACUGGAUAGCCCAGGUGCAUCUCUAUACUUAGGAGCUUGGAUCACUCAUUGCUGUCAUCAAGAAAAAGUGCUUCCUUCAAAUUUGCCAAAUCACAGGUUUGCAGGGCAAUGCUUCAAAGCAGCUCUCUCCCAUUGUUAUGGGGAUGAGGGUAAGUGGCAGAGAUAGGUACCAGGUAUUGCUGAAAGAGGCUUUGAAAUCAGUCACAAAUGCUUUGGGAGUGGUUGGGGGCAGGAGAAGAUCAUGUGCAUGAUAGUCUCAAAUGGAACAAAACAAAACAAACAAAAAACAGCCCAUAAUCACCAGUGAGAGGAAAAUGCACAAAUCACCAACAGUUAUUUGAAUUGUGCUUAUUGCAGGUGUCUUUCCUGCAAAUGGCAUACUCCUAAAUUAAUUACAUUGCAAUGCCUACUUAAUAAUGCCAGAUUGCUUUCUGGUAAAUUUUUCAGACCUCUAUCUCAUAUUAUGACUUUGAAAGAAUACAACCACAAAAGAAAGAAAAAUGAAAUAUGUUCCUCUCCAUGAGAGUGCAUGGUGACUUUUGUAUUACAAGUAACACUUAUUGUUAUAUGGUUAAUGAGAAAAUUAAGCCCUGGCUGCAAUGCCACAUUUCCCUUUGUUCUUAAUGAACACUGACAUUUGUGCACAAUUAACAAUGACACAUAUAAUCAUAUGAGCCUUUGCUCGGAUUCCAGCUCAGUACAGUUGGACCAUAAGGAGAGCUCCCUGUGAGAUCAGAUCAAAGCCUCUUUGCAGUGUGUCUUUUCAGAGCAUGGCAGAGAUGAAUUAAUCGUAUCUCUCUGAUUUUAAGUAGUAUGGCCAAAGAGUAAUUGGGGAAAAGACAUGGUCAUGGUACAGGGAGCCAGCCUCUAAAGAGGUUCAUGUCACAAAAGAGACAAGGUGUCAUGCCCAGCAGUGUCUGUUUGCAAUUUUCUGCUUUAUAAUUUUCUCACAGAUAUUUAAAAUUAAUUUAGCUCUCUUCUCUUUUAAUAAGAGAUAGAACAAAGUGCUCUUUGGUCAUCAUUCAUAGCACAUUAACUACAAUUAUAUCAACAUAUCUUUGUCUGCUUCUUUAUGGAGUUUUUAAAUUUUUUUUCCCUUUCCAUCCUCCUUUGGAGAGCUCUUGGGAAGCAACUUUAGCUAAUAAUUAAUAAUGAGAAGAUUCUCCUGAGGAAAUCGUUUUGAAUUGUUAUGUUCUUCCUAUAAAUUGUCAUUUCAGAAUUCUAAUCAGCAGAAUUUGGAUUCCAAAUGGUAGGUAAUUACAGUGGCCCAUUGCAUCUGAAUUGAUUAAUAUGUAAAUGUAACUAAUUCCACCUUCAAAGUCAAUAUAAAGCAAUGUGCAUACUCAUGGAGAAGGGAGUUUAUGUGAUUGGGAACUUUGAGAGAAAAACCAGAUGCUGAGAUAACAAAAGCCUGUUUUGCAAUCUCCACAUAAAUUGUUCCUCUCUCUCGCUUUGUUUUUUAAAUUCAAUUGCACUUUAUUGUCUCAUUGGUCGCUGCCAUAGCUCCUGCAAACAUCUCAGUUCUUUCUGCCUUGCUACACAACCCCCAUUCAAAUCAUAUCAAUGUUUGUCUGCCUGAAACAUGAUAAAGCUCAAUGGCACUGUCAUCCAAGGCACUCUAACUGUCUAGCAAUGCUUAGUAAAGGAAACCCUCCAAAUCUUGACAGAAAGCCAAAAGCAGAACAAACAGUUUAGAGAUCACAGGGCAAUGACCAGCUGCAAAAGACUCAAAGGUGUAAUGAAUGGCAUAACAAAAUCAAGGACAGGAUAUCUGAAGUGGACAAUUCAACUGAAUUGAGGUCAAAUUUCAGACUCCCUUUUCUCUCCUAUUUCAGUUAAAAACCACAUCUUUUCUAGUCUGUUACUCUUUGUGGAUUCCUGCAGAAUACAAAUUAAAAACUUUGAAACUUUAUUUCCAAACAUUAUUUCACACAAUUUAAAAAGCAGAUUACAGCUCUUUCAGGGAUGAGCAAGGUAAACCAUUGGCAUAUCUAACUGCAUGUUAGAAACAAGAGUUCAUUGUGUUUGUUCAUUUUGUUUGUUGUAGUCCACGUUUAGGAUUCACCUACAGGGAUUGUUAUUUAUUUGGUGAAUGCAGCACAAGCAGGCAGAUUUCAAAAUCUCUACAAGUAAUGUUAUUCUGAAGCCAGGUAGAGAACCACCUUUAAUCAAUUAAGUCUAAUUCUUUCUGUGUUUCCCAGAUGUGCCAAAUAAGUUGUCCUAAAGCUGGGCUAAUGAGAAACAGGUUAUCUGAAUAUGAAGUAAGGAACAGUAGUUCUAACAUAAGCAUUUAUCCGUUCUUGUAUCUAUUCAGCAAAUAUUAAUUGAAUAUAUGCACUGUUUUGUUCACCUCUGAUAGUACAGUGAAUAAAUUUGAUAAGCCCCUACCUUCAGAGAGCUUCAUUGCUCAUGAAAAACACACUAGUUAGUCAACAAAUAAAUGAAUUAAUUGCUGGAUGAUAAUCAGAAAAUGAGAAUUCUACAAACUACAUACAACAGGGUGUUGAAUGUAGUAAAUGAUAGAGAAGAGCUGGCUUAACAUGUUGGAGGAACAGCUCUCAAGUUCAGUGAAGCUGUCAUGGGGCGGCAGGGAAAUUGGUUACUCUAAGACCAAGAAGAAGCCAAAGACCACAGUAGGCAACUCCCUCUCAGUUAUGGAUAGGAGUUGGGCUUUUGUUCUGAUUUAUGUUGGGAAAUUAUGUUAGUGUUAUGGUUCAGAUAUGAGGUGUCCCCCAAAAGUUCAUGUGAGAAAAUGCAAGAAUUCUCAGAGGGAAGAUUAUGAGAGGGGUGAACUAAUUGGUGGAUUAAUCCAUGGAUAUGGGUUAAAUUUGCAAUAACUAGAGAAAGUACAUGGCUGGAGGAAGUAUGCCACUGUGGCCAUGACUUUUAGGUUUAUAUUUUGUCCCUGGUGAGAGAAGCCCUCCUUCUGCUUCCUGGCUGUCAUGUCUUAAGCUACUUUCUUUUUCCACAUCUUUCACCACGAUGUUUGGCCUCAUCUUGGGCCAGAGCUAUGGAGUUGGCUGACCAUAGACUGAACUUCUGAAACCAAAAGAAGCCAAAAUCCUCUAUAUUGUUCUGGCUGGGUCUUCUGUUCAGCGUAAUAAAAGAGCUAACUAAAACAUUUGGGGUUGAUUAAGUGGAGUAUGUUAUGAGGAAAAUGUUGGAUACAGGUGGGACAAAGAGAUCAUAAAGAGUGGCUUCACUGAUCACCAUCAGUAAUGACAAGGAAAUGAGUGGCUAUGACCAUUAGAGUUUAUGUCUGAGCUGCAGGAGUUUUGUUGUUAUUGUUGUCUGUUUGCUUGGUUUUUCUAAACUAUAUCACAGCCCCACCACCACUUUUUUGUGCCCUGCCUAUUCCUUCUGAUGAUGUUUUGAUAGGCAACAACAUAUUAAAGGAACCCCAAAACUUAAGAGUGUAAGUAAUAACCCUCAAGUAUAUGAUAUAACUAUGUUCAGCAAAAAAUGGCUCUCUUCUGUCCUUACCACACACAGGAGAGCCACAUUUUUCCUUCUUGACCUGACAUGUACAAUUUUAAGAAGGAAAGGUUUGUUUGGGGGUUCAUGGUCUCAAAGUUCUCAAUCCAUAGUCAUCCUUUCCUUAGUCUCAGGUGAGGCAAAAUAUUAUGGUGGAAAAGUGUGGUGGAGGGAAGCAGCUCCCAUGAUGGUUAGGGCACUGAGGGAAACUAAGCUCAGCUCACCAAAUAUAUAACCCAAAGGCAUGCCCCCAAUGACCCACCUCCAGCUAUGCCCUAUCUGCCCUCACUUACCACUCCGUCAGUCCCCAUUAAUUCACUGAUUGUGUUAAGGCUGUCAUAACACAAUCAUUUCAUUUCUGAAUGUUCUCGUAUUAUUUCACACAUGAGCUUUUGGGGGACACCUCCCAUUUAAACCAUAACAGUCUGGAGGUGAUUAAAGUGAAACAGGAUGUAAAGGAUGUGGACAUACCAAGGAUCAUAAGUCAAGCAGUAUUGUCAAUGUCCUUCCUGUGUUUCAGAGGUGGCAGUAGGCACUUACUUUAUGAACCUGUUUAACACUCAGCCCAGAGAGGUAGGUUUCUUCUACAAUUUAUAGGCUCAACGACUAAGGGUAGAUUCACUCUUUGAUCCUAGAAGCUAGCUACUCUUUAUUCCAAAAUCAAUGUUAUUAACCAGCUUAUCCCACUUUCAACCACUAGUUCCAUCUACAUUUGGAUGACAUGGAAGCGCCUCCAGGAGAGAAGAGAGGGGUCCAUCCACAACACAUGCUCCCACUUCCUUUCUUUAUCAUUUCUGUAGGAAUCAUCUUGCUUCACAGAAUCAUAGAGCAAUUUUGGAUCUAUCUAGAAGGGUUAGUGAAGACCACCACCUUUCAUUCUGCAAGAAAGAAAACUGCACAGCUUUCUAAAGCUAGAAUAGAGUUUAGGUACCAGAAUUCACAUUCUUAACCCAGUAGUAUCUUUUUUAACACACUAGGCAGCUAGCCGUUGGCUCUUUUGGAAAUGACGUGUGCUUCAAUUCUGACCUAUCCUAAGCCAAAGACUACCAGAAUCUUAAGGAAGACCUUGGAAACUGUCUCCCAAUGUUACCUGGGAAUCACUGUUACCCAGAGUUCCACAUCUGCUGAGUGGAUCAGAUUCUCUAUAAUCUGCUCUGUAAAAGAAUCUGAGAUAUUCCAGUUCUUUACAAUAUAUCAUCUUCACACAAUAAGAAAGCCAGGAGAACUGUGAUGUCUAGUAUUUGUUCAAUCCACAGUGACUAUCCUAGAAUUUCUCAGAGCCAUCCCUUUCUCUUAGAAUGCUUUACCCUCACUGGAAAUACCUUUCUUAUUUUUGAGAGAGAACUGGGAAGCUAGCAUGUUGCCCAAGUCUGUCAUUAUUUGAUAUCAUUAUCUGAUGUCAUAUUUUGCAUGCUAUUAGACAAAGGCAAUUACCAACUGCAUAAUAUGGUGUCCCCUUUUCUGUCUGCAGGAGACACAGUCACUCACACAUUUUCUAAAAUUUGUUUUUGUAGUUUGUAGAUGAACAGCAUACCUUUAUUCUUUUUAUUUAUUUUUAUGUGGUGCUGAGGAUUGAACCCAGUGCCUCACAUGUGCUAGGCAAGUGCUCUACCACUGAGCUACAGCCCCAGCUGCUCACGCAUUUUAUAUGCUUAGUUCAGAGUUAGGUAUUUGGAACACUAAGAGUCAUUAAAACCUAAUCCCUGCCUUCAAGGAGCCAAAAUCCUAUGAAAAGAUUAAUAGAUUAACAGACAAUGGCAAAGCAUGUCAUAAUUCCUCUGGAAACCUCUGAGGACAUGUUUUUGGUUGGGUUAAUCCUGUAAAUAUUUAAAUCUAUAUAUAUCAUGUUAGAGGCCAUUUAUAUUGAAUUUCUCUUCUGAGUUCAUAUCAUGUCCUCUUGUGUGACAUUACUGUACAUAGCACUUAGUUUUGUAAUUCAUCAAAUAAAAAUUUAUGAUAUAUAUCUAUUAAA
Molecule: non-coding RNA, 9238 nt
Organism: Ictidomys tridecemlineatus (thirteen-lined ground squirrel)
Lineage: Eukaryota; Metazoa; Chordata; Mammalia; Rodentia; Sciuridae
Source: RefSeq, a predicted model, not a curated record